RNAcentral lists this ribosomal RNA (250 nucleotides) under uncultured prokaryote. RNAcentral describes it as "partial 16S ribosomal RNA". It matches the Rfam family "Bacterial small subunit ribosomal RNA", at positions 524 to 774 of the family's 1533-position model. The record is from RNAcentral.
UACGGAGGAUCCGAGCGUUAUCCGGAUUUAUUGGGUUUAAAGGGUGCGCAGGCGGCCUGAUAAGUCAGCGGUAAAAUCGUGGGGCUCAACCCCAUCCUGCCGUUGAUACUGCCGGGCUUGAUCGCGGUCGAGGUAGGCGGAAUUCGUCGUGUAGCGGUGAAAUGCAUAGAUAUGACGAAGAACACCGAUUGCGUAGGCAGCCUACCAGGCCGCAAAUGACGCUCAUGCACGAAAGUGCGGGGAUCGAACA